CUUCCUCAAAAGCUGGUAUUACCUGAACAUUAAAAGGUCUCUAUUUUGAGUAUAAAUGACAUUUAUGAAGCAAGUGAGCCACGUUGCAAAAUUAAUAUGGUCAAAUCAUCCUCAAAUCUCAACUUAAUCCCAGUCUGUGCACUUGCACCACACAACUGAAUAUAAAUAUUGCCAGCUUCUGAUAUAAUCUCAUUGACUCUAAAAGGACAAACUGCUAAGUAGACACUGUAAAUGUAUAAGACCAAAGAAAAGUAUGAGCACUACCCAAGGUUAAUACUAAAGAAAGUUCCUAACAAAAGCAUGAGUGCAAAUGUGAAGUUCCAUAUGAAUACAGGGAUAAGAUUGCACAAUCAAGGAAAUAAGUUUCACCUCGCCAGAUCCUAGUUUGAAU
This 391-nucleotide unclassified non-coding RNA is filed under the name Hevea brasiliensis (rubber tree). Lineage: Eukaryota; Viridiplantae; Streptophyta; Magnoliopsida; Malpighiales; Euphorbiaceae. The record is from RNAcentral.